GCCCUGAUAGCUUAUUAUAAAGCAUUGGUCUUGUAAACCAAAGACUGUAGGCCUAAUCUCUACUCAGGGCU
Molecule: transfer RNA, 71 nt
Filed under: Trichobatrachus robustus
Lineage: Eukaryota; Metazoa; Chordata; Amphibia; Anura; Arthroleptidae
Description: tRNA-Thr
Rfam family: tRNA
About the family: Transfer RNA (tRNA) molecules are approximately 80 nucleotides in length. Their secondary structure includes four short double-helical elements and three loops (D, anti-codon, and T loops). Further hydrogen bonds mediate the characteristic L-shaped molecular structure. tRNAs have two regions of fundamental functional importance: the anti-codon, which is responsible for specific mRNA codon recognition, and the 3' end, to which the tRNAs corresponding amino acid is attached (by aminoacyl-tRNA synthetases). tRNAs cope with the degeneracy of the genetic code in two manners: having more than one tRNA (with a specific anti-codon) for a particular amino acid; and 'wobble' base-pairing, i.e. permitting non-standard base-pairing at the 3rd anti-codon position.
Source: RNAcentral